RNAcentral lists this ribosomal RNA (253 nucleotides) under uncultured bacterium. RNAcentral describes it as "partial 16S ribosomal RNA". It matches the Rfam family "Bacterial small subunit ribosomal RNA", at positions 524 to 776 of the family's 1533-position model. The record is from RNAcentral.
UACGAAAGGAGCAGGUGUUAUUCAGAUUAACUGGGCGUAAAGGGCACGUAGGUGGUUUGUUUAUGUGUAUUAUUAAAUUGUAAAGCAUAACUUUAUAACGUAUUACAGACAACAAAACUAGAGUUAGGGAGAGGCGAGUGGAAUUCCUGGUGUAGCGGUGAAAUGCGCAGAUAUCAGGAGGAACACCAAUUGCGAGGGCAGCUCGCUGGAACGUAACUGACGCUGAGACGCGAAAGCGUGGGGAGCAAACAGG